UACGAAGGGGGCUAGCGUUGCUCGGAAUCACUGGGCGUAAAGGGUGCGUAGGCGGGUCUUUAAGUCAGGGGUGAAAUCCUGGAGCUCAACUCCAGAACUGCCUUUGAUACUGAAGAUCUUGAGUUCGGGAGAGGUGAGUGGAACUUCGAGUGUAGAGGUGAAAUUCGUAGAUAUUCGCAAGAACACCAGUGGCGAAGGCGGCUCACUGGCCCGAUACUGACGCUGAGGCACGAAAGCGUGGGGAGCAAACAGG
This 253-nucleotide ribosomal RNA is filed under the name uncultured bacterium. Its description in RNAcentral is "partial 16S ribosomal RNA". It matches the Rfam family "Bacterial small subunit ribosomal RNA", at positions 524 to 776 of the family's 1533-position model. The record is from RNAcentral.